Panicum virgatum (switchgrass) is the source of this 2163-nucleotide RNA transcript. RefSeq lists it as uncharacterized. The record is from RefSeq and is a predicted model, not a curated record. Lineage: Eukaryota; Viridiplantae; Streptophyta; Magnoliopsida; Poales; Poaceae. The transcript is spliced from 15 exons.
AGCUCCGCCCAUGGCGAGCCGGCGAUGGCCCGAUGGGCGGCAUUGCUGCUGCUUCUGCUUGCCGCGCCGGCGGCGGGGAGGAAGGAGAAGGCCGGCGAGAAGGUGUGCGACAAGGGGUGGGAGUGCAGCGGCAGCCGGUUCUGCUGCAACGAGACCAUCAGCGACUACUUCAAGGCGUACCAGUUCGAGGAGCUCUUCGCCCACCGCAACGAUGCCCAGGCCCACGCCCCCGGCUUCUGGGACUACCAGGCCUUCAUCACCGCCGCCGCCCUCUUCGAGCCUCGCGGGUUCGGCACCACCGGAGGCAAGCAGAUGGGGAUGAAGGAGGUCGCCGCUUUCCUCGGCCAUGUCGGCGCCAAGACGUCAUGUGGAUAUGGUGAAGCACCUGGUGGUGAAACGGCUUGGGGGCUUUGCUAUAACCAUGAAUUGAGCCCCAGUCAGAGCUACUGUGAUGAUAGCAAUGAAUUGUACCCUUGUGUUGAAGGAGUUGAGUACUAUGGCAGAGGCGCUAUUCCUGUUUACUGGAACCACAACUAUGGUAUCAUUGGCAAUGGUAUCAAGCAGGAUCUGUUGAAUCACCCAGAGCUAUUGGAACAGAAUGCCACCCUAGCAUUUGAAGCAGCUGUCUGGAGGUGGAUGACUCCAAUGAAGCGGAAGCAGCCAUCUGCCCAUGAUGUGUUUGUUGGUAACUGGAAACCCACCAAGAACGACACAUUGUCCAAGAGGUAUCCUGGCUUUGGUGCUACCAUGAACAUCCUGUAUGGUGAUGAUAUCUGUGAGAUUUGCAAGGGUCUUCAGUGGCAUAUUCCUGCAGGACUAAAAACGAAUGGAUAAAUAUCUUUGGAACACAGCUUGUCCAAGUGAUUUCGUGGGGACCAGAAGUUGGGAACCACACAUAUGUACAGCCAGGUAGCGAUAGGCUAACUAGUGGGUAAGAAAGCAAGCAGGAAGGGAUGGAGCUCACCAACAUCCCCUAUCUUGCAUCAUCUUCCUCCUCCAGCAUCUUCUACUCCAGCUACAGCCGCUGUACCUGCAGGGGCAAAAAGGCUGGGAACCUGGUGAUAACAGCUUCUGCAGCUGGUGGUAGGUGUGCUGCUGAUUUGGCAUGUUCACAGCUUGUUGAGCGGGAAAAUAAAGACGCCCUUUCAGGUCCUAGAUCUUCCUGGCAUUAUAGAAGGAGAGAAUUUGCUUCUGCCAUUUUGCUCCCUUUUCUGCUUCCUCAUGUUGAUGUCUCAAGCGCGGCUGAGACAUACAAUGAAUCAAUCAUUCGAAGUGGCGUGAGGACUGUCUUAACCAAGGCCAAGGCUGCUGGCGUGCUUCGUUUGGUUUUCCAUGAUGCAGGGACUUUUGAUGUUAGUGACAAAUCAGGUGGCAUGAAUGGCUCUAUAAUAUAUGAAGUUGACAGGCCUGAAAAUACUGGGCUAAAUAGAUCCAUAAAGAUAUUAGGAAAAGCAAAAUCAGGAAUCGAUGAUAUUCAGAAAGUGUCAUGGGCGGACUUGAUUGCUGUGGCUGGUGCUGAGGCAGUUGCGCUCUGUGGUGGGCCUGAAAUUCCAGUAAGGCUAGGACGAUUAGAUUCCAGUACUGCUGAUCCAGCUGGUAAGCUCCCUGAAGAGACAUUGGAUGCAGCUGCUCUAAAAACAUUAUUCAGCACAAAGGGUUUUUCACCGCAGGAGAUGGUUGUUUUAUCUGGUGCACACACAAUUGGAGGCAAAGGAUUCGGGAGUCCAAUCGUUUUUGACAACACCUACUUCAAAGUGCUCCUUGAGAAGAAGCCUCAAACAUCUUCAUCUGGCAUGGAAGCAAUGGUGGGGCUGCGCACGGAUUGGGCACUCACUGAAGAUGACGAGUGCUUAAGAUGGAUUAGGAUAUAUGCAGAGGACCAAGCUAGAUUUUUCGACGACUUCAGGGAUACAUACAUCAAGCUGGUAGAUAGUGGAGCCACGUGGAGAACAGCUUAAUUAGAAUUUUCCAUGGCUGUAAAAUGCAAUGAAUUUUUCCUAUAUAGGCAGCGGCUCGUUCGAAACAUACGAGUUUCAUAGAAUUUUUUUUUACCAAAAACAGAGCAGUUUUUUCCAGGCAAAAUGCCAAUUGAACACAAAAGACGCAGUCUCUUGUAAACUAAGUAGCAUUUUGGAACACCAAUGAGUUGCAAUUCUCAAACCA